This 245-nucleotide unclassified non-coding RNA is filed under the name uncultured fungus. RNAcentral's name for it is "partial contains 5.8S ribosomal RNA, internal transcribed spacer 2, and large subunit ribosomal RNA". The stretch from base 1 to 52 matches the Rfam family "5.8S ribosomal RNA", at positions 103 to 154 of the family's 154-position model. The record is from RNAcentral. Lineage: Eukaryota; Fungi.
AACGCACAUUGCGCUCCCUGGUAUUCCGGGGAGCAUGCCUGUUCGAGCGUCAUUAUCAACCAUCAAGCCCUGCUUGGUAUUGGGUGCCGUCCCUGCUGCGGACGCGCCCUAAAGACUUUGGCGGUGGUGUUGAACCUCAAGCGUAGUAGAAUCUCCAGCUUUUCAGGUGCAACGUCGCUUUGCCUCUAGAAACCCCCUUUCUUAAGGUUGACCUCGGAUCAGGUAGGGAUACCCGCUGAACUUAA